This 209-nucleotide long non-coding RNA is filed under the name Elaeis guineensis (African oil palm). Its description in RNAcentral is "long non-coding RNA (EGUI_LNC007560)". Lineage: Eukaryota; Viridiplantae; Streptophyta; Magnoliopsida; Arecales; Arecaceae. The record is from RNAcentral.
GUGGGCCUCAUGAUUUUAUCCUUCAAAAAAUAUCUUAUGUGAAAAGGAUAGUUUCUUUCUACAUAAGUCAUGAGUCCUCUUGAUUUACAAUCAAUAUCGGAUUAAUAAUACCCUCUCUUCUACACCGCAAUGUUACUCAUAGCUAAAUAUUUGAAAUAUCACAUAUUACAUUAUCCAUGAUUAGGAUCUAUCACGUUGUCCAAAGAGAG